UCGUCUAUCCUUAAUAUGUCUAUACAACACUGCCAAACGGUGGCCAAACUAAUAGGCCGUUCCAAGAUGCUGUCAAAAUUAAAACAAUAUGGCUACUGGAAGGCAAACAUUGAAUAUUAUUCUAUCAGGUUCUUAUGGUUUUAGAUCAUUUUAGUUGUUGUACAAAGAUUAAUUUAACAUUUUCUCUGGAAGUAUUAAUUUAGAAAGAUAAUAUGCCUCAUUGGUGUUGUGUUUUGAAGUGUGAAAUGCAAAGUAAUCGUGAUAAAGUUAGCUUUUACCACUUACCAUCAGUGCUACAUUCUAAGCACAAAACUGAACCAAUUUAACUAAAUAAGUUAUAGUUAUCAUCUGAGAGACAACAACAAUGGUAAAAUGCAAUAAAAUAUAAAGAUUUUACUAGCAAAAUGGAAAUUCCCCUGUAAUCAUCUUAUAUCUGGUAAGUUACAACAUUUGAACAUUAACGAUUUUUGAAGAUGUUAACAGUCUAAUCUUGUAGGAAAACCAGCCGACUUAACUGAUAAUAACAAUCCAGAUUGGGUUCCUUCAAUAAAUAUGGGGUAUAUAAACACAAUGAAAUGAGUUCCCCAAAAUCUAAAAUGGGAAUUAAGGUACCAAAGGAGAAUUAGAAGAAAAUGGUACCUACAAGAAAAAAUUGCUUUUUUAUUCCUCUUGAAAUGAUUUAUAAGACACUGGACUGUCUUAUAUUCUACAAAUACUAGAAUCAGCUGAGAGAAGUGGUCUACAAAAACCCAGGAAGGAAACGGAAUAUGUGGCUACGAAAGGCAAAAGAAAGGUUUACAAAGCAAAUGUGACACAUUUUUUUGAAAUAUUUAGGAAUAUCAGUAAAUUGCAUUAAAAAAAUGUAUGAAAAGAUUUUGUUCAAUAAAAAUGUUUAUAUUUA
Molecule: long non-coding RNA, 901 nt
Organism: Diabrotica virgifera virgifera (western corn rootworm)
Lineage: Eukaryota; Metazoa; Arthropoda; Insecta; Coleoptera; Chrysomelidae
Exons: 2
Source: RefSeq, a predicted model, not a curated record